ACAGAGCUGCGCUGCAAGGUGUCACCGGUGACCUGCAAUGCUGGGCCUGUUGCUGAAUGUGCUGAAACCGGCAGUGGGGUUUCCGGUGGCACCCCUGGUAUCCAGAGUGUCCUAGCAAGUGUGGUCAGGCCAGAAGGCGGACCUGGACACGGCAACAGGCUGGCAAGAGAGCUGGUCGGUGAUACAGAUCCCGGCUAAGAAUAGAGGCAGUACAGGGGCGGGCCUGCUGCAGAGAUGUGCGAUGAGAAGAAGCUAAUCGAGGCUGGAGCUGACGUCAGACACCCUCCCUGAAACGCUUGGACACGCCUGUGUUUUUCUGGACAAUCCCAGUAAACGAUAUAAUAAACGAGCAGAUGGACUGCACUCAGAGAUGAUCAAAUGAGACUAUUAGACAAGCAGCCUUAUCAUCAACGUUUCGGUGCAUCAUUGUAAAGAGGCAGCGCUCCGAAAUAUGUUAAAGACACCAGGAAGUCAGCCAUCUCUAUGUCAUGGCACAGCAAUGCAUUAUGGGGAGUCCAGCACAACACAGAACUUGCCAUCUUCUGAAAAUUGACUUUUCUCUGUUUAAGAAACCUGUUCGUAAAUGUUACUAAUGUUAAAUGAAAACAACAAUUUUUGCAUUCAGAUGUGUUCGUAAAUAAAGAAAGCAAACUAUUAAA
Molecule: long non-coding RNA, 659 nt
Organism: Pseudophryne corroboree (corroboree frog)
Lineage: Eukaryota; Metazoa; Chordata; Amphibia; Anura; Myobatrachidae
Exons: 4
Source: RefSeq, a predicted model, not a curated record